CUGACUGCUAUCGGAUUGAUACUAAGCCAUGCGAGUCAUUGUAGUAAUACAAGGCAGACGGCUCAGUAACGCGUAGUCAACCUAACCUAUGGACGGGAAUAACCUCGGGAAACUGAGUAUAAUGCCCGAUAGAACAUUAUGCCUGGAAUGGUUUAUGUUCCAAACGAUUUAUCGCCGUAGGAUGGGACUGCGGCCUAUCAGUUUGUUGGUGAGGUAAUGGCCCACCAAGACUAUUACAGGUACGGGCUCUGAGAGGAGUAGCCCGGAGAUGGGUACUGAGACACGGACCCAGGCCCUAUGGGGCGCAGCAGGCGAGAAAACUUUGCAAUGUGCGAAAGCACGACAAGGUUAAUCCGAGUGGUUUCUGCUAAAGGAACCUUUUGUCGGUCCUAGAAACACCGAUGAAUAAGGGGCGGGCAAGUUCUGGUGUCAGCCGCCGCGGUAAAACCAGCACCUCAAGUGGUCAGGAUGAUUAUUGGGCCUAAAGCAUCCGUAGCCGGCUCUGUUAGUUUUCGGUUAAAUCUGUACGCUCAACGUACAGGCUGCCGGGAAUACUGCAAAGCUAGGGAGUGGGAGAGGUAGACGGUACUCGGUAGGAAGGGGUAAAAUCCUUUGAUCUAUUGAUGACCACCUGUGGCGAAGGCGGUCUACCAGAACACGUCCGACGGUGAGGGAUGAAAGCUGGGGGAGCAAACCGGAUUAGAUACCCGGGUAGUCCCAGCUGUAAACUAUGCAAACUCAGUG
This 744-nucleotide ribosomal RNA is filed under the name uncultured marine archaeon. RNAcentral's name for it is "bacterial SSU rRNA". It matches the Rfam family "Archaeal small subunit ribosomal RNA", at positions 23 to 773 of the family's 1478-position model. The record is from RNAcentral.